This 414-nucleotide ribosomal RNA is filed under the name uncultured bacterium. RNAcentral's name for it is "partial 16S ribosomal RNA". It matches the Rfam family "Bacterial small subunit ribosomal RNA", at positions 360 to 773 of the family's 1533-position model. The record is from RNAcentral.
AAUAUUGCGCAAUGGAGGGAACUCUGACGCAGCGACGCCGCGUGAGCGAUGAAGGUUUUCUGAUCGUAAAGAUCUGUCCUUGGGGAAGAAGGCGGCCAUUUUUGGCCACUUUACGGUACCCAAGGAGGAAGGCUCGGCUAACUCCGUGCAGCCAGCCGCGGUAAAACGUAGGGGGCAAGCGUUGUACGGAAUCAUUGGGCGUAAAGGGUGCGUAGGCGGCCUUUUAAUGCAGAUGUGAAAGACCACGGCUUAACCGUGGGGUUGCAUUUGAAACUGGAGGGCUUGAGUAUCGGAGAGGGUAGUGGAAUUCCCAGUGUAGCGGUGGAAUGCGUAGAUAUUGGGAGGAACACCAGUGGCGAAGGCGACUACCUGGACGAAAACUGACGCUGAGGCACGAAAGCUAGGGGAGCAAAC